UUGAGGGGCAUUUCGGGAACUCUACAGAAGUCCGUUCAAAGUGGAAAAGGUGCCCUCUGGAAGCAUUUUUCGUCCUGAAUCCAACGAAUCUAGUUUCAUGGUAAUCGGAGUUCGUUUGAGGCAUGAACUUGGCAGUUUUAUCUGAUUGCGCAGAAUCCUGCGGGAAUGGGGGUUUUCCUAUCUUAUCUAGAAUUCAUCCUUAUCUUGUGCAUGGGAAGUUGAGUUCGUGAGGGACUUGUAACUGGAGGUUGUCCUCUAUAAGAGGACCCUCAAAGGGGAGGGAUUGGUAUCCGGUAGAGCUGGAGAGGCCAAGAGAGCUUAUUGUAAUCAGUUGAGUGGUUAUUCAAUAAAGUUCUCUU
This 359-nucleotide long non-coding RNA is filed under the name Phoenix dactylifera (date palm). RNAcentral's name for it is "long non-coding RNA (PDAC_LNC008745)". The record is from RNAcentral. Lineage: Eukaryota; Viridiplantae; Streptophyta; Magnoliopsida; Arecales; Arecaceae.